UCAAGCUUAGGACCACCCACCAUGCCCAUCCAGGUGCUGAAGGGUCUGACCAUCACUCGGUAAGAACAGAGGAGACUGCCUGUUACUCGUGAUGGUGAGAAGGCGGAUGUAGACAGGCGUGGCUGCAGCCAUGGGUAGGAAAGUGCUGGCACCCACCCACCUGGGCCGGAGCUGGUUCUGCUCCUGCUACAGGGACACUGAGCUGGCUAUCUCGGCACUUCGGGCAAGAACUGCAACAGGCUCUCCUGGGUCCUGCAGGUGUACAGCCGGGCCCCUGCCUUGUGCCUCAGCUCUGGAGAGCUGCUGCUGCUGGGUGACCUGAUCCAACCUGACAAGGUGCCAUCUUCAGCUACCACUGCAAGGCCCUGAGGGCAACAGCACCACAGCACUGCCCACCCGGCUGCUGAUGGCCUGGUGCCAGCUGGGAGUCCUCCCGCCACUUGGAGGCCACUGAGCCGCCCUUCCAGCCUCGGCCCACCAUGGACAGGGGUAUCCAGCUUCCUCCUCAACCUCGUCCUCUGCCCCUGAGCCAGUGACGCCCAAGGACAUGUCUGUUACCUGGCUCCUGUACCAGCGUGAGCUGGUCAAGGGCAUGACAGUGCUGGAGGCCGUCCUGGAGAUCCAGGCCAUCACUGACAGCAGGCUGCUCUCCAUGGUGCCAGGGCCCGCCAGGCCACCAGGCUCAUGCUGGGACCCAACCCAGUGC
RNAcentral lists this small RNA (706 nucleotides) under Pongo abelii (Sumatran orangutan). Its description in RNAcentral is "processed transcript". The record is from RNAcentral. Lineage: Eukaryota; Metazoa; Chordata; Mammalia; Primates; Hominidae.